This 943-nucleotide non-coding RNA is filed under the name Callionymus enneactis (mangrove dragonet). RNAcentral describes it as "12S ribosomal RNA". It matches the Rfam family "Bacterial small subunit ribosomal RNA". Lineage: Eukaryota; Metazoa; Chordata; Actinopteri; Syngnathiformes; Callionymidae. The record is from RNAcentral.
CAAAGGCUUGGUCCUGACUUUAAUAUCAAUUUUAACUGAGUUUAUACAUGCAAGUAUCCGCACCCCCGUGAGAAUGCCCACAACCCUCUUUAGAGGGCUAGGAGCUGGUAUCAGGCGCAUAAAAUCGCCCACGACACCUUGCUUAGCCACACCCCCAAGGGUACACAGCAGUAACAAACAUUAAGCAAUAAGUGAAAACUUGACUUAACUACAGUUAAUAGAGCCGGUAAAACUCGUGCCAGCCACCGCGGUUAUACGAGAGGCCCAAAUUGAUAGGUACGGCGUAAAGGGUGGUUAAAAUCUUAUUAACCUAGGGCCGAACUCGUCCCCGACUGUUAUACGUUACGGAAUGAAGAAGUACUAAAACGAAAGUAGCUCUAAAUAUUUGAAUCCACGAAAGCUAGGAAACAAACUGGGAUUAGUUACCCCAUUAUGCCUAGCUGUAAACCCCGAUGUUUUAAUACCUCAAGCAUCCGCCAGGGUACUACGAGCGUGAGCUUAAAACCCAAAGGACUUGGCGGUGCUUUAGACCCCCCUAGAGGAGCCUGUUCUAUAACCGAUAAACCCCGUUAAACCUCACCCUCUUUUGUCUUUUCCGCCUAUAUACCGCCGUCGUCAGCUUACCCUUUGAAGGCUUAUUAGUAAGCAAAAUUGGCUUACCCCAAAACGUCAGGUCGAGGUGCAGUGAAUAAGAGGGGAAGAAAUGGGCUACAUUUACUAAAAUAGUAAACUACGAAAAAGGCACUGAAAUGUGCUUUUAAAGGAGGAUUUAGCAGUAAAAGGAGAAUAGAGUGCCCCUUUGAAAUUGGCCCUGAAGCGCGCACACACCGCCCGUCACUCUCCCCGCAUAAUACCUACUUAAAUACUUAAAUAAAUAUAUUAUUAAUUUAGGGGAGGCAAGUCGUAACAUGGUAAGCGUACUGGAAGGUGCUCUUGGAAAAAC